ACCAGGCGGACCAGGUAACCCACUGUCACCUUUUUGACCAGCAGGACCCUAUAAGACAAUGAAAGAAAUGAAGUGCUGACCAUACUACACAAUGUUAAAAGUAACACACACAGAAGUUAAAGAACAAAAAAUAUGGAUGCAAACUACUUACACUGGAUCCUUUGGAACCUUUUGGACCUUGGGGACCCUAUGGGCAAGAACACAGAACUGUAGUUGGAGUGUAUGUCACACAAUCGGGGAGUGUUUAGAACAGGAGGACUGGAUGAAAUUACUUACAGGUAAACCAGGAGGACCAGGGGGUCCAAGUGGACCUGCAGGGCCGGAAAUUCCCUAAGACAGAGUAAGAGACUCCAGGAUACCAGAUGUGGAUUAAAACUUCACAAUUACUAUAAGACUAUGUGAAGCUGAGUAGACACAGUAAGUUGUCUUGCUUUCUGAUACAAAACCUCUACUGUUUCUUCUGCUAAUUUUAUAAAGCUUUUAGACUGGAUAAAAAUUACAAAUGUACAAACAAUGACUCCAUUAUACCUUCUCUCCUUUGGAACCUGGAUCUCCUUUCAAGCCAGGCAGGCCAGGUGGACCCUAAAUAAAUCAAGGGAAGCAAUGUUAAAGUGGAUCCAAUGUAAGCUGAUGCUUAUAGAAUCUAUUGGAAAACUCUGCUGCAGUCUUACUAGCUGGGAAACCACUGCAAAGGAGAAACAUCCACACAGAUAGGUCUUUUUUUGCACCUCCCUUGCAAAAACCACUGAAUAACCUUGUUCUUAUAACUUGACACAAGCUUAUUUUCCCUGCCACUGUUUUUUUUUUUGUAGCUUUACUGGGUCAUAAGAACAACCCACUGAAGACACUACUUUAUCAGUUGUAAAAAUCCGGAGAGAUGUCACAGAAAAAGUCUCUAUAUGAAGCUUGUUAAAAUCACCUUGGCUUGCCUUUUUUUUUUUUUACUAUUUUAAUCCUUACUUAUCAUUUUAGAAGAAUUUUGAGGGAUUUGAGAAAUACUCUGAACUUCACAAGAAUGGCAGUGCUGGUUUUCUGUAAUUUGUACUGAAUGAGGUGAAAAAAUUCAGGCUAUGCAGCGCACAUGCAAUCCCAGAAAAAGCAUUCAUUUCUCAGAGACUAUGCAUCUGGACACUGAACACUUCUGCCAUCAGGUGUAGAGCUACUAGACUCAGUCAGUAUCUCAUCGCUGCUAGUCUCCUGCUGGCAGUGGACACCUGAGAAGUGAUGAUAUGGACAGCAAUAAUAAGUGACCUUUUCAACCAGGCACAGAUUCAAAAGUGCUGUAACAGUUCAUGUACAAAAUACUAUUCAGUGCAUACCCUUUCCAUCUCUACUUCAGGUAUCAUUAGGUGCAAAAGCCUAGGCAAAUACAUAAUUCAUGAAUGAAAAGUGGAAUUUUUAAGCUUCUAGAAUACAGAAUCAGAUAUUUUCACCUGCAGUGUGUUGUGCUCUGCUGCAAAUCUGCUUUCAUAUUCUUCUCCCUAUAGCAAUCUACUGUGGAGGGAGGAACGUGAAGGAGGGAGACCUAACCUCAGCAACUUCUGCAUAUAAACUCUACUUCCUUAAAAUCCAAACUAAAGUUUAAGUUGCAGCAAUGCAUCUAAAAAAAGGUUCUUGCUGGGCUAACAAGACACUCUUGUUGAGCCUAUGCAUUUGGGAGUAUACACUUCCUUAAUACAUUUAGCUUCAGACUUGAACUGAAUAUUUAAGCUCUCAAAUGUUGGAAAAGAGAGUCUUUGAUGAUGUAUUAGGAGGCUUCUGGUAACUGAUGUGUGGGAAAGGGAUGCUUAUUAUUGCUGAGUAAUUUGUUCUUUGGCUUUAGGUAUCAACACAGAAUUGUAACAGAGGAGAUCAGUUUUUAGUUCCCUGAUUUCUCCCUCACGCAUUUUAUUGGGCACAUCAUUUAAAAAACUAUGGUGGUGAUCCCAUCAUAAACUCUCUGUAAAAAAGCAUUUGUAUUACAGGCUUAGCACCGGAGUAUACUUUUUCCUUGCAGCUUCUCAUUCACUGUUCCCAACUUCUGACUUACAAGCAAUAUGUUGACCAUGAGACUAGACAAAAAUUAGAAUGUUAAAAUGAAGGACAACAAAGACGUAUAGUGUAAAGUUUCCUUGGUACAUUAUUUCCUCAUUUUUGUUUUCUAAUGGACAGAGAAAAAUGAAAUUAUACAUAGGUGCCAUUGUCAUAUCAUCUAUAAUUAUUUACAUAGAAGUGAUUGAUAGAUACCCCUAUCCACCAGGUCACAGUCCAUUGGGAAAAAUCCUUCUAGUGAGUGGGGCAUAAAACUGUUUGUUCUGAAACUCUACUUAGAGGUUAUGAACUUGCAUGUUUUGAAAAUGCAAAUGGUUACCCAAAUGCUUUCACCUGUGCAAGUGUUUCUGUCAAUGAAAGAGAAGGCAAUUGCUCAUUUUCACAUAUGCACAUGAAAGUGAACAACUGAUUUAGGGUAAAAGUCUUGAUUUUUACAGCAUCUCAGUUUAAAUUCCUCAUUUUUUCCACUUCCAUUUUUAUCUACUGGAAAAUUCUGAUAUGAAAAAUGCAUAGCUGCUGUUCAGAU
Molecule: long non-coding RNA, 2557 nt
Organism: Pezoporus occidentalis (night parrot)
Lineage: Eukaryota; Metazoa; Chordata; Aves; Psittaciformes; Psittacidae
Exons: 3
Source: RefSeq, a predicted model, not a curated record